GGACACAGAGCCCUGCAGUGACCACAGCAGUGACCAGAGCUUGACACAGGGCCCUGCAGUGACCACAGCAGUGACCAGAGCUCGACACAGAGCCCUGCAGUGACCACAGCAGUGACCAGAGCCAGCACAGUGCCAGGACAGCCCCUCACCUCCUGUCACCCCUGUGCUUUCAGGCUCUGGCACUGAGGUUUCAGCUUCCACGAGGGGCCUGGCACAGACCUUGCCCUGAUUAUGGAGCCACCCCAGUGAUGUUUUAAAUUAUGGAUUAACUGUUACAUAGUCAUGCACGAGGCAAUGUCCAAGGUUCUUCAGCAGCAGCGUGAGAUGCUGGUGCAGAUAAAGGCUCUUCAAGGCAGCAGGGAGCUCCGUCCUGAGCAGGGUCUGUGGAGGAAAGUGAGCUGCAGCAUUUAGAGCAGCCAUUCUCUGGGCUGGUAAAACACAAAAAACACUUUGUGCCGAGGCCACAGAAACUGGAACACCCAUCGUGGCUGCUCUCGGGCUGACCACUCCAGCUGCCCUCUCUGGUUCAGGAGGACAGGGAAAGGAGAAUUUUAAUCCUGAGGGUCUCUGUCCCAGGGAAAGGUAAGCCAUGGUAUGGUACUGCUGCUGCUGGAGCAGAGAGCCCUUAUAAAGUCCGCAGUGCUAAAAACCAGAGCCCAGACAGGAGAGUUUGUUUAAGAGAGAAUCAUUUAUUAGAAGAUAGGAGGUUGUUACGUACAGAUUCUGUCCUGCA
Long non-coding RNA from Junco hyemalis (dark-eyed junco), 733 nucleotides. The record is from Ensembl. Lineage: Eukaryota; Metazoa; Chordata; Aves; Passeriformes; Passerellidae.